RNAcentral lists this ribosomal RNA (491 nucleotides) under uncultured bacterium. RNAcentral describes it as "partial 16S ribosomal RNA". It matches the Rfam family "Bacterial small subunit ribosomal RNA", at positions 29 to 507 of the family's 1533-position model. The record is from RNAcentral.
AGUGAACGCUGGCGGUAGGCCUAACACAUGCAAGUCGAACGGCAGCACAGUAAGAGCUUGCUCUUACGGGUGGCGAGUGGCGGACGGGUGAGGAAUACAUCGGAAUCUACUUUUUCGUGGGGGAUAACGUAGGGAAACUUACGCUAAUACCGCAUACGAUCUACGGGUGAAAGCAGGGAUCUUCGGACCUUGCGCGAUUGAAUGAGCCGAUGUCGGAUUAGCUAGUUGGCGGGGUAAAGGCCCACCAAGGCGACGAUCCGUAGCUGGUCUGAGAGGAUGAUCAGCCACACUGGAACUGAGACACGGUCCAGACUCCUACGGGAGGCAGCAGUGGGGAAUAUUGGACAAUGGGCGCAAGCCUGAUCCAGCCAUACCGCGUGGGUGAAGAAGGCCUUCGGGCUGUAAAGCCCUUUUGUUGGGAAAGAAAAGCAGCAGGUUAAUACCCCGCUGUUCUGACGGUACCCAAAGAAUAAGCACCGGCUAACUUCGUG